AGUGGCAGACGGGUGAGUAACGCGUGGGAACAUACCCUUUCCUGCGGAAUAGCUCCGGGAAACUGGAAUUAAUACCGCAUACGCCCUACGGGGGAAAGAUUUAUCGGGGAAGGAUUGGCCCGCGUUGGAUUAGCUAGUUGGUGGGGUAAAGGCCUACCAAGGCGACGAUCCAUAGCUGGUCUGAGAGGAUGAUCAGCCACAUUGGGACUGAGACACGGCCCAAACUCCUACGGGAGGCAGCAGUGGGGAAUAUUGGACAAUGGGCGCAAGCCUGAUCCAGCCAUGCCGCGUGAGUGAUGAAGGCCUUAGGGUUGUAAAGCUCUUUCACCGGAGAAGAUAAUGACGGUAUCCGGAGAAGAAGCCCCGGCUAACUUCGUGCCAGCAGCCGCGGUAAUACGAAGGGGGCUAGCGUUGUUCGGAAUUACUGGGCGUAAAGCGCACGUAGGCGGAUAUUUAAGUCAGGGGUGAAAUCCCAGAGCUCAACUCUGGAACUGCCUUUGAUACUGGGUAUCUUGAGUAUGGAAGAGGUAAGUGGAAUUCCGAGUGUAGAGGUGAAAUUCGUAGAUAUUCGGAGGAACACCAGUGGCGAA
Molecule: ribosomal RNA, 590 nt
Filed under: Agrobacterium tumefaciens
Lineage: Bacteria; Pseudomonadati; Pseudomonadota; Alphaproteobacteria; Hyphomicrobiales; Rhizobiaceae
Description: bacterial SSU rRNA
Rfam family: Bacterial small subunit ribosomal RNA
Source: RNAcentral